CAAUCAUAAAAUGCUAGCAAAAGUAAUAUGCGAUUCAAAACAGAACAAACUAUGAUUAACGGAUUAAGUAAGCAAAUAACAUCUAAGCAGUUUGUGACUAUAUUGGCAUUUAUGUACAAUGUUUUAUGUAAAAUAUCCAAAGUUUCAAAUAUCAAGCAGAUAAAUGGAUUCAUCGCAUAGUUUUAAAUUAAAAAUAUUUGAAAGAUUUUUAAAAAGGAAAGAAACUGCUGGAAGCCACAAAAGGUAUUGAUAAAACGGAGUUGUUUUCAAUGCCGUUGACAAAUAAUCGCAAAGAAAGAGUAAUCCAGCGAAAUCAGUUUUUACAUACUGUGAUUUUGUUUAACCAUAUUUGUGACAAAAUGUUUCAAACAAAAUGAAAAUGAUCUGCUCAAGAUAUGCAAAACAUGCACUGACUCAAUAUAAGUGGUAUUUCUUAUCAAG
Non-coding RNA from Hydra vulgaris (swiftwater hydra), 441 nucleotides. NCBI's taxonomy places the organism in Eukaryota, Metazoa, Cnidaria, Hydrozoa, Anthoathecata, Hydridae. The record is from RefSeq and is a predicted model, not a curated record.